AGAGUUUGAUCAUGGCUCAGAUUGAACGCUGGCGGCAUGCCUUACACAUGCAAGUCGAACGGCAGCACGGGAGCAAUCCUGGUGGCGAGUGGCGAACGGGUGAGUAAAGUAUCGGAACGUGCCCAGUCGUGGGGGAUAACGUAGCGAAAGCUACGCUAAUACCGCAUACGAUCUAUGGAUGAAAGCGGGGGAUCGCAAGACCUCGCGCGAUUGGAGCGGCCGAUAUCAGAUUAGGUAGUUGGUGAGGUAAAGGCUCACCAAGCCGACGAUCUGUAGCUGGUCUGAGAGGACGACCAGCCACACUGGGACUGAGACACGGCCCAGACUCCUACGGGAGGCAGCAGUGGGGAAUUUUGGACAAUGGGCGCAAGCCUGAUCCAGCAAUGCCGCGUGCAGGAUGAAGGCCUUCGGGUUGUAAACUGCUUUUGUACGGAGCGAAAAGGCUUCCACUAAUACUGGGGGCUCAUGACGGUACCGUAAGAAUAAGCACCGGCUAACUACGUGCCAGCAGCCGCGGUAAUACGUAGGGUGCAAGCGUUAAUCGGAAUUACUGGGCGUAAAGCGUGCGCAGGCGGUCUAGUAAGACAGGUGUGAAAUCCCCGGGCUUAACCUGGGAACUGCACUUGUGACUGCAAGGCUGGAGUACGGCAGAGGGGGAUGGAAUUCCGCGUGUAGCAGUGAAAUGCGUAGAUAUGCGGAGGAACACCGAUGGCGAAGGCAAUCCCCUGGGCCUGUACUGACGCUCAUGCACGAAAGCGUGGGGAGCAAACAGGAUUAGGUACCCUGGUAGUCCACGCCCUAAACGAUGUCAACUGGUUGUUGGGUCUUCACUGACUCAGUAACGAAGCUAACGCGUGAAGUUGACCGCCUGGGGAGUACGGCCGCAAGGUUGAAACUCAAAUGAAUUGACGG
This 912-nucleotide ribosomal RNA is filed under the name uncultured bacterium. RNAcentral's name for it is "bacterial SSU rRNA". It matches the Rfam family "Bacterial small subunit ribosomal RNA", at positions 8 to 916 of the family's 1533-position model. The record is from RNAcentral.